This is an RNA transcript of Lathyrus oleraceus (garden pea), 1176 nucleotides long. It is a transcript of the gene named PRA1 family protein A1, with no coding region annotated. The transcript is spliced from 8 exons. The record is from RefSeq and is a predicted model, not a curated record. Lineage: Eukaryota; Viridiplantae; Streptophyta; Magnoliopsida; Fabales; Fabaceae.
CAAAACGCAACAACACUUUCAUUUCCCUUUUCUUCACUUUCACUUGUUUUUCACUUUCUUCUUUCCUUUCCAAUAUCACCCUUUCACUUCAUAUUCCUUUCUUCCAUUUUCAAUCACCGCUGCAUCAAAGUUUCUCUCCGAAAUCGAUGGAUUGGGGAAACGUUACCGCCGAAGAUCUCGUCGACGCUCUCCGCGAAGUUGAUUGGUCAUCGCCGCCGCGUCCUCUCUCCGAAUUCUUCUCCCGAUUCACCGUUCCAAGAUCUUCCUCCAAAUGGAACAGCCGUCUCAAAUGCAAUCUCUACUACUACAGGACCAACUACUUCAUUUUGAUUGUUUCUGUUCUCAUAUUGGGGUUUCUUCGGAGGCCGCUUGCUAUUGUGGCUGCGCUUCUUACAGCACUAAGCAUUGCCUUUCUAAAUGACAGCUUUGCAGGUACCUUUAGUGAGAAGGUAACAAGAACAGUAAGGCAAUUUUCACCUCAUUUAGCUGCCAAAAUGAGACCUCCGCUUACGCCUGUUAUUCGUGGACGUCCAUCAGCUAAGAGAGCAAUUUAUAUUUGUGGUCGGCCUCGUUGGGUGUUCGUCUUGAUAUUUUCUUCUGCAAGUUUCUUUCUAUGGUUUGUUUCGGCUGGUCUCCUGACUGUUUUAUGGGCGCUUGCUAUUGGUCUUCUUGCUACCAUCCUGCAUGCAAGCUUUAGAACACCUAACCUGAAAGCACGUCUAAAUACAUUCCGUGAAGAAUUUCGUGCUGUAUGGCGCAAUUACAGCGAGCUGUAGUUCACAUAAAAUUUGCUGGACCGGAUGUGAGUGCUUUCUUCCAUAACACAUGUAUGCCCUAUGCUGCAUGUUAAUGGGAACAAUUUCCUUUGAUUGGAUUGGAACUUUCCAGGGAGGCGGCCAACUGUCCAACAGAUUGUAAAUUUCAGAAUCGUGUUUUUGUAAAGUACACUGUUUUCAUUGUUUAUUAUAUCUUAGUGGAAGCAUUGGAAUAUUGAUACAUCCUGUAGCAUAGGAAUUGUCACCAUUACUAGUUUUCAGAAUUCUUAACUGCUGCGAGAAAUAGGUGAAGUAAGAUACUCUCAAUUACCUUUACGGUUCUUAUUUGUAGGUUUUUAUUUUAUUUGGUAUUUUGGUUUCUGUUUUGGUAAAGAUUACAAAUAUUGUUGAUUGCCUUGCA